UUAAGCGACUAAGCGUACACGGUGGAUGCCCUGGCAGUCAGAGGCGAUGAAGGACGUGCUAAUCUGCGAAAAGCGUCGGUAAGGUGAUAUGAACCGUUAUAACCGGCGAUGUCCGAAUGGGGAAACCCAGUGCAAUUCGUUGCACUAUCGUUAACUGAAUACAUAGGUUAACGAGGCGAACCGGGGGAACUGAAACAUCUAAGUACCCCGAGGAAAAGAAAUCAACCGAGAUUCCCCCAGUAGCGGCGAGCGAACGGGGAGCAGCCCAGAGUCUGAAUCAGCUUGUGUGUUAGUGGAACGGUCUGGAAAGUCCGACGGUACAGGGUGAUAGUCCCGUACACCAAAAUGCACAGGUUGUGAACUCGAAGAGUAGGGCGGGACACGUGGUAUCCUGUCUGAAUAUGGGGGGACCAUCCUCCAAGGCUAAAUACUCCUGACUGACCGAUAGUGAACCAGUACCGUGAGGGAAAGGCGAAAAGAACCCCGGCGAGGGGAGUGAAAAAGAACCUGAAACCGUGUACGUACAAGCAGUGGGAGCACCUUCGGGUGUGACUGCGUACCUUUUGUAUAAUGGGUCAGCGACUUAUAUUCUGUAGCAAGGUUAACCGUAUAGGGGAGCCGCAGGGAAACCGAGUCUUAACUGGGCGUUAAGUUGCAGGGUAUAGACCCGAAACCCGGUGAUCUAGCCAUGGGCAGGUUGAAGGUUGGGUAACACUAACUGGAGGACCGAACCGACUAAUGUUGAAAAAUUAGCGGAUGACUUGUGGCUGGGGGUGAAAGGCCAAUCAAACCGGGAGAUAGCUGGUUCUCCCCGAAAGCUAUUUAGGUAGCGCCUCGUGAAUUCAUCUUCGGGGGUAGAGCACUGUUUCGGCUAGGGGGUCAUCCCGACUUACCAACCCGAUGCAAACUACGAAUACCGAAGAAUGUUAUCACGGGAGACACACGGCGGGUGCUAACGUCCGUCGUGAAGAGGGAAACAACCCAGACCGCCAGCUAAGGUCCCAAAGUCAUGGUUAAGUGGGAAACGAUGUGGGAAGGCACAGACAGCCAGGAUGUUGGCUUAGAAGCAGCCAUCAUUUAAAGAAAGCGUAAUAGCUCACUGGUCGAGUCGGCCUGCGCGGAAGAUGUAACGGGGCUAAACCAUGCACCGAAGCUGCGGCAGCGACACUAUGUGUUGUUGGGUAGGGGAGCGUUCUGUAAGCCUGCGAAGGUGACCUGUGAGGGUUGCUGGAGGUAUCAGAAGUGCGAAUGCUGACAUAAGUAACGAUAAAGCGGGUGAAAAGCCCGCUCGCCGGAAGACCAAGGGUUCCUGUCCAACGUUAAUCGGGGCAGGGUGAGUCGACCCCUAAGGCGAGGCCGAAAGGCGUAGUCGAUGGGAAACAGGUUAAUAUUCCUGUACUUGGUGUUACUGCGAAGGGGGGACGGAGAAGGCUAUGUUAGCCGGGCGACGGUUGUCCCGGUUUAAGCAUGUAGGCUGGUUAUCCAGGCAAAUCCGGAUAAUCAAGGCUGAGGUGUGAUGACGAGGCACUACGGUGCUGAAGUAACAAAUGCCCUGCUUCCAGGAAAAGCCUCUAAGCAUCAGGUAACAUCAAAUCGUACCCCAAACCGACACAGGUGGUCAGGUAGAGAAUACCAAGGCGCUUGAGAGAACUCGGGUGAAGGAACUAGGCAAAAUGGUGCCGUAACUUCGGGAGAAGGCACGCUGGUGUGUAGGUGAAGCCCCUGCGGGUGGAGCUGAGACCAGUCGAAGAUACCAGCUGGCUGCAACUGUUUAUUAAAAACACAGCACUGUGCAAACACGAAAGUGGACGUAUACGGUGUGACGCCUGCCCGGUGCCGGAAGGUUAAUUGAUGGGGUUAUCCGUAAGGAGAAGCUCUUGAUCGAAGCCCCGGUAAACGGCGGCCGUAACUAUAACGGUCCUAAGGUAGCGAAAUUCCUUGUCGGGUAAGUUCCGACCUGCACGAAUGGCGUAAUGAUGGCCAGGCUGUCUCCACCCGAGACUCAGUGAAAUUGAACUCGCUGUGAAGAUGCAGUGUACCCGCGGCAAGACGGAAAGACCCCGUGAACCUUUACUAUAGCUUGACACUGAACAUUGAGCCUUGAUGUGUAGGAUAGGUGGGAGGCUUUGAAGCGUGGACGCCAGUCUGCGUGGAGCCAACCUUGAAAUACCACCCUUUAAUGUUUGAUGUUCUAACGUUGGCCCCUUACCGGGGUUGCGGACAGUGUCUGGUGGGUAGUUUGACUGGGGCGGUCUCCUCCCAAAGCGUAACGGAGGAGCACGAAGGUUAGCUAAUCCUGGUCGGACAUCAGGAGGUUAGUGCAAUGGCAUAAGCUAGCUUGACUGCGAGCGUGACGGCGCGAGCAGGUGCGAAAGCAGGUCAUAGUGAUCCGGUGGUUCUGAAUGGAAGGGCCAUCGCUCAACGGAUAAAAGGUACUCCGGGGAUAACAGGCUGAUACCGCCCAAGAGUUCAUAUCGACGGCGGUGUUUGGCACCUCGAUGUCGGCUCAUCACAUCCUGGGGCUGAAGUAGGUCCCAAGGGUAUGGCUGUUCGCCAUUUAAAGUGGUACGCGAGCUGGGUUUAGAACGUCGUGAGACAGUUCGGUCCCUAUCUGCCGUGGGCGCUGGAGAAUUGAGGGGGGCUGCUCCUAGUACGAGAGGACCGGAGUGGACGCAUCACUGGUGUUCGGGUUGUCAUGCCAAUGGCACUGCCCGGUAGCUAAAUGCGGAAGAGAUAAGUGCUGAAAGCAUCUAAGCACGAAACUUGCCCCGAGAUGAGUUCUCCCUGAGACUUUAAGUCUCCUGAAGGAACGUUGAAGACGACGACGUUGAUAGGCCGGGUGUGUAAGCGCAGCGAUGCGUUGAGCUAACCGGUACUAAUGAACCGUGAGGCUUAACCU
Molecule: ribosomal RNA, 2899 nt
Filed under: Klebsiella pneumoniae subsp. pneumoniae
Lineage: Bacteria; Pseudomonadati; Pseudomonadota; Gammaproteobacteria; Enterobacterales; Enterobacteriaceae
Description: 23S ribosomal RNA
Rfam family: Bacterial large subunit ribosomal RNA
Source: RNAcentral